This 254-nucleotide ribosomal RNA is filed under the name uncultured bacterium. RNAcentral's name for it is "partial 16S ribosomal RNA". It matches the Rfam family "Bacterial small subunit ribosomal RNA", at positions 524 to 776 of the family's 1533-position model. The record is from RNAcentral.
UACGAAGGGGGCAAGCGUUGUUCGGAAUUACUGGGCGUAAAACGUGCGCAGGCGGUCUGUUAAGACCGAUGUGAAAUCCCCGGGCUUAACCUGGGAACUGCAUUGGUGACUGGCAGGCUUUGAGUGUGGCAGAGGGAGGUAGAAUUCCACGUGUAGCAGUGAAAUGCGUAGAGAUGUGGAGGAAUACCGAUGGCGAAGGCAGCCUCCUGGGCCAACACUGACGCUCAUGCACGAAAGCGUGGGGAGCAAACAGG